CGGUGAGCAUGUUGCUUAAUUCGAUGCAACGCGAAGAACCUUAUCCUGGGCUUGACAUGCUUGGAUGCCCAUCUGGAAACAGAGUAGGCUGCCCUUCGGGGUGAAACUUGCACAGGUGCUGCAUGGCUGUCGUCAGCUCGUGUCGUGAGAUGUUGGGUUAAGUCCCGUAACGAGCGAAACCCUUGUCGCUAGUUGCCAGCGCGUAAUGGCGGGGACUCUAGCGAGACUGCCGGUGUUAAACCGGAGGAAGGUGGGAUGACGUCAAGUCCUCAUGGCCUUUAUGCCCAGGGCUGCAAACGUGCUACAAUGACCGGUACAAACCGACGCAAAGCCGCGAGGUCGAGCAAAUCGGAAAAGCCGGCCCAGUUCGGAUUGGAGUCUGCAACUCGACUCCAUGAAGUUGGAAUCGCUAGUAAUCGCAGAUCAGCUAUGCUGCGGUGAAUGUGUUCCUGAGCCUU
Molecule: ribosomal RNA, 458 nt
Filed under: uncultured Phycisphaerales bacterium
Lineage: Bacteria; Pseudomonadati; Planctomycetota; Phycisphaerae; Phycisphaerales
Description: bacterial SSU rRNA
Rfam family: Bacterial small subunit ribosomal RNA
Source: RNAcentral